CCUACGGGUGGCAGCAGUGGGGAAUAUUGCACAAUGGGGGAAACCCUGAUGCAGCAACGCCGCGUGAGUGAGGAAGUAUUUCUGUAUUUAAAGCUCUAUCAGCCGGGAAUCGAUAAGAAGGUCCCUUAAAAAGAAGCCCCGGCUAAAUACGUGCCAGAAGCAGUGGUACUACGUGGGGGGCAAGCGUUAUACGGAUUUACUGGGUGUAAAGGGAGCGUAGGCGGGAAGGCAAGUCAGAAGUGAAAACCCAAGGCUCAACCAUGGGACUGCUUUUGAAACUGUCAAACUAGAGUACGGGAGAGGUAAGGGGAAUUCCUAGUGUAGCGGUGAAAUGCGUAGAUAUUAGGAGGAACACCAGUGGCGAAGGCGUCUUACUGGACCGAAACUGACGUUGAGGCUCGAAAGCGUGGGGAGCAAACAGGAUUAGAUACCCUGGUAGUC
Molecule: ribosomal RNA, 441 nt
Filed under: uncultured bacterium
Lineage: Bacteria
Description: partial 16S ribosomal RNA
Rfam family: Bacterial small subunit ribosomal RNA
Source: RNAcentral